Long non-coding RNA from Homarus americanus (American lobster), 223 nucleotides. RefSeq lists it as uncharacterized. The transcript is spliced from 3 exons. Lineage: Eukaryota; Metazoa; Arthropoda; Malacostraca; Decapoda; Nephropidae. The record is from RefSeq and is a predicted model, not a curated record.
AGAUCUCGAGUCAGUAUUUGUCCCCAGGGUCUACUGAUAACACCCAACUACACAACAGGCAACGAUAAACAGGUUAAACCAUGGUCCGUGUUGGGAGGAUCGGCUGUAGGCUGAACAGAUGGACUUCCAAAUGCCUACAACGCGUCCUGGUAUUGUGUUGUGUUGUGUUGUGUGCUGUAUAGAGGCCUACCCAUCCUCUCUGACCAACACAGCCUACCUGAUG